This 364-nucleotide ribosomal RNA is filed under the name uncultured eukaryote. Its description in RNAcentral is "partial 18S ribosomal RNA". It matches the Rfam family "Eukaryotic small subunit ribosomal RNA", at positions 592 to 976 of the family's 1831-position model. The record is from RNAcentral.
CAAAAGCGUAUAUUAAAGUUGUUGCAGUUAAAAAGCUCGUAGUUGAACCUUGGGCUUGGCUGGCCGGUCCAUCUUUUUUGAUGCGUACUGGACCCAGCCGAGCCUUUCCUUCUGGCUAGCCUUUUGGCGAACCAGGACUUUUACUUUGAAAAAAUUAGAGUGUUCAAAGCAGGCCUUUGCUCGAAUAUAUUAGCAUGGAAUAAUAGAAUAGGACGUUAUGGUUCUAUUUUGUUGGUUUCUAGGACCAUCGUAAUGAUUAGUAGGGACGGUCGGGGGUAUCAGUAUUCAGUUGUCAGAGGUGAAAUUCUUGGAUUUACUGAAGACUAACUACUGCGAAAGCAUUUACCAAGGACGUUUUCAUUAA